GCCUACGACCAUAUUUCCCUGAAAACGUCCGAUCUCAGACGUUAAGUAGGUUCGAGCCUUGUUGGUACUUGGAUGGGAGACCGCCUGGGAAUACCAGGUGUUGUAGGCU
Petromyzon marinus (sea lamprey) is the source of this 109-nucleotide ribosomal RNA. The record is from Ensembl. Lineage: Eukaryota; Metazoa; Chordata; Hyperoartia; Petromyzontiformes; Petromyzontidae.